RNAcentral lists this ribosomal RNA (500 nucleotides) under uncultured bacterium. Its description in RNAcentral is "partial 16S ribosomal RNA". It matches the Rfam family "Bacterial small subunit ribosomal RNA", at positions 29 to 523 of the family's 1533-position model. The record is from RNAcentral.
AUUGAACGCUGGCGGCAUGCCUUACACAUGCAAGUCGAACGGCAGCGCGGGAGCAAUCCUGGCGGCGAGUGGCGAACGGGUGAGUAAUAUAUCGGAACGUGCCCAGUAGUGGGGGAUAGCCCGGCGAAAGCCGGAUUAAUACCGCAUACGACCUGAGGGUGAAAGGGGGGGAUCGCAAGACCUUCCGCUAUUGGAGCGGCCGAUAUCAGAUUAGGUAGUUGGUGGGGUAAAGGCCUACCAAGCCUGCGAUCUGUAGUUGGUCUGAGAGGACGACCAGCCACACUGGGACUGAGACACGGCCCAGACUCCUACGGGAGGCAGCAGUGGGGAAUUUUGGACAAUGGGCGCAGGCCUGAUCCAGCAAUGCCGCGUGCAGGAAGAAGGCCUUCGGGUUGUAAACUGCUUUUGUCAGGGAAGAAAUCCCCUAGGCUAAUACCUUGGGGGGAUGACGGUACCUGAAGAAUAAGCACCGGCUAACUACGUGCCAGCAGCCGCCGUAA